RNAcentral lists this ribosomal RNA (627 nucleotides) under uncultured bacterium. RNAcentral's name for it is "bacterial SSU rRNA". It matches the Rfam family "Bacterial small subunit ribosomal RNA", at positions 338 to 956 of the family's 1533-position model. The record is from RNAcentral.
CCUACGGGAGGCAGCAGUGGGGAAUUUUGGACAAUGGGCGAAAGCCUGAUCCAGCAAUGCCGCGUGAGUGAAGAAGGCCUUCGGGUUGUAAAGCUCUUUUGUCAGGGAAGAAACGGUGAGAGCUAAUAUCUUUUGCCAAUGACGGUACCUGAAGAAUAAGCACCGGCUAACUACGUGCCAGCAGCCGCGGUAAUACGUAGGGUGCAAGCGUUAAUCGGAAUUACUGGGCGUAAAGCGUGCGCAGGCGGUUUUGUAAGUCUGAUGUGAAAUCCCCGGGCUCAACCUGGGAAUUGCAUUGGAGACUGCAAGGCUAGAAUCUGGCAGAGGGGGGUAGAAUUCCACGUGUAGCAGUGAAAUGCGUAGAUAUGUGGAGGAACACCGAUGGCGAAGGCAGCCCCCUGGGUCAAGAUUGACGCUCAUGCACGAAAGCGUGGGGAGCAAACAGGAUUAGAUACCCUGGUAGUCCACGCCCUAAACGAUGUCUACUAGUUGUCGGGUCUUAAUUGACUUGGUAACGCAGCUAACGCGUGAAGUAGACCGCCUGGGGAGUCGGUUCGCAAGNUUAAAACCGUCAAAAGGUUGUUAGNGGACGNGNGAGAGCGACGACGACGACGACGGAGGAGGAGG